GGUGUAUCUGGGUCGUAGUCAUUCACUAUGGUUAAAUCUUGGAACUCAUUUUCCAGGAAAUGAUGUGGCCAUGCUUUUAGGUGGUCAGUUGUUGGAUAUUUGACAACACCAUUUUCCUGUAGCUGUGAUUCGUCUAUAGUGGCCCAUACUUUUGCCAUAGGCCCAAGAUCAUUCCAUGAUAUUGUUUUCAACUUGGUCACAGGGACAUGUGGAAUGGCAGUGUCCCAAUGACGGUACAAAUGCUUGAGUUCCGGAGGUAGAUGAAUCAAGACCAUACUGUUGCCUUCAGAAUCACAGUAGAAGUCUUGUG
This is a non-coding RNA of Pelobates cultripes (western spadefoot toad), 310 nucleotides long. Lineage: Eukaryota; Metazoa; Chordata; Amphibia; Anura; Pelobatidae. The record is from the annotation of a GenBank genome assembly.